This 1439-nucleotide ribosomal RNA is filed under the name Lactiplantibacillus plantarum. RNAcentral describes it as "bacterial SSU rRNA". It matches the Rfam family "Bacterial small subunit ribosomal RNA". The record is from RNAcentral. Lineage: Bacteria; Bacillati; Bacillota; Bacilli; Lactobacillales; Lactobacillaceae.
ACAUGCAAGUCGAACGAACUCUUCGUAUUGAUUGGUGCUUGCAUCAUGAUUUACAUUUGAGUGAGUGGCGAACUGGUGAGUAACACGUGGGAAACCUGCCCAGAAGCGGGGGAUAACACCUGGAAACAGAUGCUAAUACCGCAUAACAACUUGGACCGCAUGGUCCGAGUUUGAAAGAUGGCUUCGGCUAUCACUUUUGGAUGGUCCCGCGGCGUAUUAGCUAGAUGGUGGGGUAACGGCUCACCAUGGCAAUGAUACGUAGCCGACCUGAGAGGGUAAUCGGCCACAUUGGGACUGAGACACGGCCCAAACUCCUACGGGAGGCAGCAGUAGGGAAUCUUCCACAAUGGACGAAAGUCUGAUGGAGCAACGCCGCGUGAGUGAAGAAGGGUUUCGGCUCGUAAAACUCUGUUGUUAAAGAAGAACAUAUCUGAGAGUAACUGUUCAGGUAUUGACGGUAUUUAACCAGAAAGCCACGGCUAACUACGUGCCAGCAGCCGCGGUAAUACGUAGGUGGCAAGCGUUGUCCGGAUUUAUUGGGCGUAAAGCGAGCGCAGGCGGUUUUUUAAGUCUGAUGUGAAAGCCUUCGGCUCAACCGAAGAAGUGCAUCGGAAACUGGGAAACUUGAGUGCAGAAGAGGACAGUGGAACUCCAUGUGUAGCGGUGAAAUGCGUAGAUAUAUGGAAGAACACCAGUGGCGAAGGCGGCUGUCUGGUCUGUAACUGACGCUGAGGCUCGAAAGUAUGGGUAGCAAACAGGAUUAGAUACCCUGGUAGUCCAUACCGUAAACGAUGAAUGCUAAGUGUUGGAGGGUUUCCGCCCUUCAGUGCUGCAGCUAACGCAUUAAGCAUUCCGCCUGGGGAGUACGGCCGCAAGGCUGAAACUCAAAGGAAUUGACGGGGGCCCGCACAAGCGGUGGAGCAUGUGGUUUAAUUCGAAGCUACGCGAAGAACCUUACCAGGUCUUGACAUACUAUGCAAAUCUAAGAGAUUAGACGUUCCCUUCGGGGACAUGGAUACAGGUGGUGCAUGGUUGUCGUCAGCUCGUGUCGUGAGAUGUUGGGUUAAGUCCCGCAACGAGCGCAACCCUUAUUAUCAGUUGCCAGCAUUAAGUUGGGCACUCUGGUGAGACUGCCGGUGACAAACCGGAGGAAGGUGGGGAUGACGUCAAAUCAUCAUGCCCCUUAUGACCUGGGCUACACACGUGCUACAAUGGAUGGUACAACGAGUUGCGAACUCGCGAGAGUAAGCUAAUCUCUUAAAGCCAUUCUCAGUUCGGAUUGUAGGCUGCAACUCGCCUACAUGAAGUCGGAAUCGCUAGUAAUCGCGGAUCAGCAUGCCGCGGUGAAUACGUUCCCGGGCCUUGUACACACCGCCCGUCACACCAUGAGAGUUUGUAACACCCAAAGUCGGUGGGGUAACCUUUUAGGAACCAGCCGC